Molecule: unclassified non-coding RNA, 293 nt
Filed under: uncultured Lemonniera
Lineage: Eukaryota; Fungi; Ascomycota
Description: sequence contains ITS1
Rfam family: 5.8S ribosomal RNA (bases 1-105)
Source: RNAcentral
GAAAUGCGAUAAGUAAUGUGAAUUGCAGAAUUCAGUGAAUCAUCGAAUCUUUGAACGCACAUUGCGCCCCGUGGUAUUCCGCGGGGCAUGCCUGUUCGAGCGUCAUUACAACCCCUCAAGCUCACGCUUGGUAUUGGAGCAUGCGGUCUCGCAGCCCCUAAACUCAGUGGCGGUGCCAUCGAGCUCUGAGCGUAGUAAAUUUUCUCGCUAUAGGGUCUCGGUGGUUGCUUGCCAACAACCCCCCAUUUUAUCAGGUUGACCUCGGAUCAGGUAGGGAUACCCGCUGAACUUAA